GUGGAGGAACGUUGACGGGCGAGGGGCCUUCAUGGCCAGCCCCCUGAAGAUCGGCUCGUAAUCUGGGGAGAGCCACAGCUUCAGUUCAACACUUCUCUCCAGCAGUGAAAGAGCCACUGGCUGCAGCUGAUGAAGCUCAAAGUCUGCUAACUACGUCUCCUGGUGGCAUCAAAAAACCAAAACUGAAAUAUUAACCAGGGAAAUCAGCAGCUGGGGAACACGAGGCACAUGAACAGAAUCACAAUAACAACACACGGAACCGGAGCACUUUCCCGUCUCUGACCGGAGGAGCAGCAGCAGGAGCUCGGCGGAGGAGAGAGAGGCAGGCGGAGAGCGCCGAGCAUCGGCUGGAUGCAAUACAAAGGUAACGAGGCUCCUCUGUGAGCGGACUGCU
Astatotilapia calliptera (eastern happy) is the source of this 394-nucleotide long non-coding RNA. Lineage: Eukaryota; Metazoa; Chordata; Actinopteri; Cichliformes; Cichlidae. The record is from Ensembl.